This 98-nucleotide ribosomal RNA is filed under the name Chlorocebus sabaeus (green monkey). The record is from RNAcentral. Lineage: Eukaryota; Metazoa; Chordata; Mammalia; Primates; Cercopithecidae.
GUCUAUGGCCAUAAACUCUGAUUUCAGAAGCUAAACAGGGUUGGGCUUGGCCAGUUUUUGGAUGGAAGACCGCCUGGGAAUAUCGGGUGCUGUAGGCU